This 351-nucleotide ribosomal RNA is filed under the name uncultured bacterium. RNAcentral describes it as "bacterial SSU rRNA". It matches the Rfam family "Bacterial small subunit ribosomal RNA", at positions 917 to 1269 of the family's 1533-position model. The record is from RNAcentral.
GGACCCGCACAAGCGGUGGAGCAUGUGGUUUAAUUCGAUGCAACGCGAAAAACCUUACCUACUCUUGACAUACUUGGGAGCUCUUGUAAUGAGAGUGUGCCUUAUGGAACCAAGAUACAGGUGCUGCAUGGCUGUCGUCAGCUCGUGUCGUGAGAUGUUCCGUUAAGUCGGAUAACGAGCGCAACCCUUACCCUUAUUUGCCAGCGGUUCGGCCGGGAACUAUAAGGGGACUGCCGGUGAUAAACCGGAGGAAGGUGAGGACGACGUCAAGUCAUCAUGGCCCUUACGAGUAGGGCUACACACGUGCUACAAUGGGAAGUACAGAGGGACGCAAACCCGUGAGGGGGAGCC